This 545-nucleotide small RNA is filed under the name Pongo abelii (Sumatran orangutan). RNAcentral describes it as "processed transcript". Lineage: Eukaryota; Metazoa; Chordata; Mammalia; Primates; Hominidae. The record is from RNAcentral.
AUUGUGUGUGCUGGUGCUGGGGCGGCUACAUAGCUGUGACUACCAGGGGGUGCAGUCUCUGGGGACCACCGCUGCCGAGGCUGGGUACCAUGAUUAUCGCGGAACACCUGCCCAUUAAUCUUGACCCUGUUAAAACAAUAACUGCCUGUCCAGAUAUGCCACACUUCUGCCUGCUGUUGGCAACCCUCCUGGACUAGGCUGCUCUUGUUAAUCACAUGGAUGUUGUUUCUUAAGGUUGCCAGAAUGAAAGUGCUUCAGAUGGCUUUGAGUCCUAAUCUUGUGGUUCUGUUCACUGAAGAUAAGCAGCAAUUUUUUGAUUAUUUUAUUUUCCUAUGGAUUGCCAAUAGGUCUAAAUAACCUCCUUAGUUGUACUGGCAGGACCAAGUAAAAAGACAAGGGAUGAUAAAGAGGGAAGGAAAAAAAGGAAAGAAAGAGAGAAAGAGCGAGGAAAUACGAGAAAGAAAGAGAGAAGGGAAAGAGGAGAGAGAGAAUUGUCUUGGGAAGGUGAUAUAGGCCACUAAUUACUUUAGAGCUGCAAGCCUCCU